GACAGAGGUGCCGAGCGUUAGGCGGAAUCACUGGGCUUAAAGCGUGUGUAGGCGGAUGCCUAAGUACCUUGUGAAAUCCCACGGCUCAACCGUGGAACUGCUUGGUAUACUGGGCGUCUUGAGCCACUUAGGGGCAACCGGAACAAACGGUGGAGCGGUGAAAUGCGUAGAUAUCGGAAGGAACGCCGGUGGCGAAAGCGACACACUGGACCUCUUCUGACGCUGAGGCGCGAAAGCCAGGGGAGCAAACGGG
This 253-nucleotide ribosomal RNA is filed under the name uncultured bacterium. RNAcentral's name for it is "partial 16S ribosomal RNA". It matches the Rfam family "Bacterial small subunit ribosomal RNA", at positions 524 to 776 of the family's 1533-position model. The record is from RNAcentral.